Long non-coding RNA from Megalobrama amblycephala (Wuchang bream), 399 nucleotides. RefSeq lists it as uncharacterized. Lineage: Eukaryota; Metazoa; Chordata; Actinopteri; Cypriniformes; Xenocyprididae. The transcript has 3 exons. The record is from RefSeq and is a predicted model, not a curated record.
CUUGGAACGGUCAACUUGUCGUCACUCACAGCAAAAAACUUCUAUGCUUGUUGCUCACAGUAAGAAGCAUUGGUGCCACAACAUUGCGUAGCUUCAAGAUUUAAAUUCCCAAAGAAAUGGGAUAACCUUUCACAGAAAUAGAAUGAAAAUGGAAGCCCACCUGUACCAUAUGAGGAUUUGUCCUGAUGCACAGACUGUCCCAAAUCACAUGCAAACACUAGUGGAGUCAAACAGAAGUCAAACAGACCUGCAUCUGCUCUGUAUUGUACUGAAAACCAGGAGAAAUGCUGGAGCCUCAGCUGUGAAGACAGAGCUUUGGUCCGGAAUUCGAAAGCCACAUUGUUGAUCUCCUAUCAAUGCUGCUGUUGAUUUGCUUAGAUUUUCAUGAGAGAGUUUGAU